Molecule: small nucleolar RNA, 78 nt
Organism: Conger conger (European conger)
Lineage: Eukaryota; Metazoa; Chordata; Actinopteri; Anguilliformes; Congridae
Product: small nucleolar RNA SNORD79
Exons: 1
Source: RefSeq, a predicted model, not a curated record
CACUGUUGAGGAUGAUUGUUAAAAACAAUGGGAAUCUCUCAGAACACCUGAAGACUAACCUUUUUACCUGAAACAGUG